CGCGCAGGCGGCAUCGCAAGUCGGUCUUAAAAGUGCGGGGCUUAACCCCGUGAGGGGACCGAAACUGUGAAGCUCGAGUGUCGGAGAGGAAAGCGGAAUUCCUAGUGUAGCGGUGAAAUGCGUAGAUAUUAGGAGGAACACCAGUGGCGAAGGCGGUCAACUGGACGAUAACUGACGCUGAGGCGCGAAAGCGUGGGGAGCAAACA
RNAcentral lists this ribosomal RNA (206 nucleotides) under uncultured bacterium. Its description in RNAcentral is "partial 16S ribosomal RNA". It matches the Rfam family "Bacterial small subunit ribosomal RNA", at positions 568 to 774 of the family's 1533-position model. The record is from RNAcentral.